UACGUAGGUGACAAGCGUUAUCCGGAUUUAUUGGGCGUAAAGCGCACGCAGGCGGCUGAUUAAGUCUGACGUGAAAUCUCCCGGCUUAACCGGGAGCGGUCGUUGGAAACUAAUUGGCUUGAGGCGAUGAGAGGGGUGUGGAAUUCCCGGUGUAGUGGUGGAAUGCGUAGAUAUCGGGAGGAACAUCAGUGGCGAAAGCGGCACCCUGGCAUUAGCCUGACGCUCAUGUGCGAAAGCGUGGGGAGCGAACGGG
This 253-nucleotide ribosomal RNA is filed under the name uncultured bacterium. RNAcentral's name for it is "partial 16S ribosomal RNA". It matches the Rfam family "Bacterial small subunit ribosomal RNA", at positions 524 to 776 of the family's 1533-position model. The record is from RNAcentral.